RNAcentral lists this long non-coding RNA (1639 nucleotides) under Salmo salar (Atlantic salmon). RNAcentral's name for it is "lncRNA (ENSSSAG00000100890.1)". The record is from RNAcentral. Lineage: Eukaryota; Metazoa; Chordata; Actinopteri; Salmoniformes; Salmonidae.
AAGCUGUGCUGAGGGAGAGCUGAUCUGCUGGGGAGACAGCCUGAAGCUGAUCUGCUGGGGAGACAGCCUGAAGCUGUGCUGAGGGAGAGCUGACCUGCUGGGGAGACAGCCUGAAGCUGUGCUGAGGGAGAGCUGAUCUGCUGGGGAGACAGCCUGAAGCUGUGCUGAGGGAGAGCUGAUCUGCUGGUGAGACAGCCUGAAUCUGUGCUGAGGGAGAGCUGAUCUGCUGGGGAGACAUGAAGUAUUACACAGAGAUCACGACCAAACAAUUUACAGGCGUACACCUGGACAACUGUCACUCCGCUCCGCUACACUUGCAUGACCGAGAUACAGUAUGCUGAUCUCACUAUAGAUCCACACAUUCAUAUCUGCAUAUCCUGGUGAAUAUUUUCCAUGAUACUCUUAAACUGAAUGUACUGAGUAUUACAGGUGUUACUAGGCCAACAUUAUCCUCUAUUGCCGGGGGGAAAACGUUGAAGUCUGUCUAGAAAAGGGGACCCCUAGUCUUCCUGCCAUCUUGUGUGAAUGUGCUAUGGAACAUCUAGAGCAUUAUGAAAAAUGACAAAUUAUGUCAAAUAAAUCUAAGUACAUACAGUGCCGUGAAUAUCACAGCACAGUAGUGUUUACUGGACCAAUGCAUUGUCCUGACUGAGCAUGAUGCUAAAUCUGUCUGUCUCUCCUGCUCUCUUUCUAUUGAUUAUCUUAUUCCACAGCUUACUUUGAUUCUCACAUCUUUUGUAAAGAUUCCUAAUAUUGAGUUGCCCCCCCCCCUUUUUUUGGUGGCCCAUGUUGACUCUGAUGCUUCCCACAGUUGUCAAGUUGGGUGGGGGACCAUUCUUUAUACCCACUGGAAACGGUUGAGCGUGAAAAGCCCAGCAGCGAUGCAGUUCUUGACGCAAACCACUGUGCCUGGCACCUACUACCAUACCCCAUUCAAAGGCAAAUAAAGCAGGUGUUCUUAAUAUACAAAACAUUAAGUGUAUAACUAUAUUUUCCAUUAUCACCGGACUACCUUUGCACAUUCACUUAAACAUAAAUUGAUUUUGUUACUACAUUUCCCAUCACCCCUUUAAUCGGGCUAAUUCCCACCAUUAACUUGUUUGUUGCCUGGUAAUUGACAUGUCCCCCUCCCCUCUGUGUGUCGUUUUCAUAUUUACUUUAUUUCUUGCCCAGCCUGUACCCCUUCACUGUCCCCUUCCCAUCUCUCUCCCUCUCCUCCUCUCUUGUCUCAUAUCUAUCUCUCUUUCUAUAUCCCGUUCCCAUCUCUCUUCCUCCUCUUUUCUAUCUCCAAUCUCACUCUUUCUCCCUUCCCCAACAUUGCCUGUGUUGCAUUGUGUGCCCUGGCCUGUGUGUGUGUGGUGUGGCUGUGCUGUGUGUAGUACAUGCUGGAGAGAGCUCGCGAGCUGAAGCCGGACCUGUAUAUGGUAGCUGAGCUGUUCACCGGCAGCGAGGAGCUGGACAAUGUCUUCGUCACUAGACUGGCCAUUAUCUCCCUCAUCAGAGCCAUGAGUGCAGGAGACAGUCACGGGGAGGGCAGGCUGGUCUUCACAUUUGGUGGAGAGCCUGUGGGCUCGGUCGUUCUGCCCAGCCUCACACGUCUAGUGCCCUCUAUCGCCCAUGCCAUGUUCCUCGACGUUAC